Small nucleolar RNA from Jaculus jaculus (lesser Egyptian jerboa), 131 nucleotides. NCBI's taxonomy places the organism in Eukaryota, Metazoa, Chordata, Mammalia, Rodentia, Dipodidae. The record is from Ensembl.
AAGCCAGCCAAUGGAUCUGCUUAUCUAAAUGCGUUUCUGCAGAAAUUUAGAUAUAGCUGGCAACAGUGAUGCCAUUCUAUGAGACUUAAGGAGAACUUAGGCCCUUACAGUCCCUCAAAAUAGCUAUAAUA